RNAcentral lists this microRNA precursor (75 nucleotides) under Tupaia belangeri chinensis (Chinese tree shrew). Its description in RNAcentral is "Tupaia chinensis (Chinese tree shrew) mir-483 microRNA precursor family". It matches the Rfam family "mir-483 microRNA precursor family". The record is from Rfam by way of RNAcentral. Lineage: Eukaryota; Metazoa; Chordata; Mammalia; Scandentia; Tupaiidae.
GAGGGGGAAGACGGGAGAAGAGAAGAGAGUGGUUUCAUGCUGCUCCUCACUCCUCCCCUCCCGUCUUGUUCUCUC